UACGUAGGAGGCGAGCGUUGUCCGGAUUUACUGGGCGUAAAGGGCGAGUAGGCGGCUCGGCAAGUCUCAUGUGAAAUCUUCCGGCUCAACUGGAAGGGGUCGUGGGAAACUGCCAGGCUUGAGGGCAGCAGAGGAAAGUGGAAUUCCCGGAGUAGUGGUGAAAUGCGUAGAUACCGGGAGGAACACCAGUGGCGAAGGCGGCUUUCUGGGCCUUACCUGACGCUGAGACGCGAAAGCGUGGGGAGCGAACCGGAUUAGAUACCCCGGUAGUCC
Molecule: ribosomal RNA, 273 nt
Filed under: uncultured bacterium
Lineage: Bacteria
Description: partial 16S ribosomal RNA
Rfam family: Bacterial small subunit ribosomal RNA
Source: RNAcentral